Molecule: ribosomal RNA, 373 nt
Filed under: uncultured organism
Description: bacterial SSU rRNA
Rfam family: Bacterial small subunit ribosomal RNA
Source: RNAcentral
CGUAGGACCCAAGCGUUAUCCGGAUUGACUGGGCGUAAAGAGUUGCGUAGGUGGUUUGUAAAGCGAAUAGUGAAAUCUUGUGGCUUAACCAUAAGGCUAUUAUUCGAACUCACAAACUCGAGAAGAGGAGAGGCAUCUGGAAUUCUUAGUGUAGGGGUAAAAUCCGUAGAUACUAGGAGGAACACCAAUGGCGUAGGCAGGAUGCUGGACUCUUUCUGACACUAAGGCACGAAAGCGUGGGGAGCGAACCGGAUUAGAUACCCGGGUAGUCCACGCCGUAAACUAUGGAUGCUAGCUGUAAGAGGUAUCGACCCCUCUUGUAGCGAAGCUAACGCGUUAAGCAUCCCGCCUGGGGAGUACGGUCGCAAGACUA